AAAGCCCUUAUGGGGAAAAGAUUAUCGCGGAAAAAAUCGGCCCGCGUCUGAUUAGCUUAGUUGGUAGGGUAAUGGCCUACCAAAGGGAAUGGACAGGGGCCGGUCUGAGAGGUUCAUCAUCCACAUUAAUUCUGAGACACGCGCCGAACUCUCACAGGAGUUAGCAUUGCGGAGUACUGUACAAUAGGGGCAACCUUGAUCUAGCCAUGCCGAACGAGUGAUGAAGACCGUAGUGUUCUAAAGCUCUUUUGUGCGGGAAGAUAAUGUCGGUCCCGCAAGAAUAAGCCCCUCCUUACUUCGUACCAGCAGCCGGGGCAAUCUGAAGAGGGUUAGGGUGAUUAGGAAUCAGGAGGGUUAAGGGGAGCUUAAGUGGUCUUGUACGUCAGGGGUGAAAUCACACAGCUCAACUCCAGAAGGUCACAAGGUGAUGAAAAUGUGGAGUCCGUGAGAGGUGUGAAAAAGCCGUAUCAGUUCGGAAAAUUUGUAGAAAUUCGCAACCACACCAGUGGAAAAGGUAGCUCA
RNAcentral lists this ribosomal RNA (522 nucleotides) under uncultured bacterium. Its description in RNAcentral is "bacterial SSU rRNA". It matches the Rfam family "Bacterial small subunit ribosomal RNA", at positions 174 to 731 of the family's 1533-position model. The record is from RNAcentral.